This 19854-nucleotide long non-coding RNA is filed under the name Heterocephalus glaber (naked mole-rat). Its description in RNAcentral is "lncRNA (ENSHGLG00000038951.1)". The record is from RNAcentral. Lineage: Eukaryota; Metazoa; Chordata; Mammalia; Rodentia; Bathyergidae.
CUGGCAAAUGUCCUGCUUGGGCUGGGCCCUUCGGUCUGCAUAGGUGGAGUUCAGGUUUAACUUCUGGAAAUUGGGACACAGAAAUAGUCCUGGGGUCCACCAGGAUCUCCACAUUAACUCUGUGAAGCCGUGUAGAUUUGGGAGUUGUUCUCUGAGCUUCCUGAGUGGGUUGUCUUCCUCAUUGUAAACACGAAAGGGAUGUACAUUUUAGGUACCAUGAGAAGACUGGGGAGGAGACAGUGACUAAUGAGUGGCAUCUGUUGCUCCGCCCGGAAAAACCUCCUGAGGUAUCUGAGCCUGUUCCCCUGGAGGACAGGAGCAAAUUCCUUUCCACCUGUGAUGCCUCUUAUCACUGUUGGGUUCACCCCAAGGGCUGAAGUCAAAUCUGGGGUGUGCAGAAGCUGCAUCCCCCUACCCCCACCCAGGGCUGUCUGGCAGAGUCCUAGCCCUCCCGGGAGCUGUUUGGAGCUUCUUCCAACUGAGUCACGCUCAGAGGUUGUUCUCUGAGAAGAAGGUGGGAAGGGAGAGCAGGGGAGGUGUUAGAAUGCGAAGCUGCUCUGUUCUUUCCUUAAAAUUUCUCUUUGCAGCUUGUGACAGUGCUUUCACCGCACAGAGUCAGAACAUGUAAAUGGACCAGGGACUCACUGGGUUCUGCAGCUGGUGGAGGAGAAUUGACCAGGGAGGAUCGAACAUGAGAUUCUUAUGUUGCCACCCUUGAGCCUCUUUUCUUGCUGAUUUUCAGAUAAAAUCAUCUCAGUGACAUUGCACAUGUAAGACUCUUGAGGGUCAAAACAUUCAAACAGAUAUUUAACAUGCCUUAGGACACACACAUGGCAUAUUAUAGAAAUUGCACUGAGGUGUCUACCCUGAAGAAAUCAGAGUCAACUUGAAAUGACCAUCUGCUAAGAAGAAUGAAAAGAAGGCCGUGGCAGGGAGAAGUGAAGAGCUGGGCUGUGCUGCAUGGGAGACAUCAAGACACCAUGACCAGCAAAAAAUACAACAGACAAAACAGCAAAACCCAAGUUUAAAAAAACAACUGACAAAAACUGCCCCUCCUUGACCAUUCCUUCUAAUCUGAAGGGAAAAUAUUUCCCUGUUGAUUAUUUACUUUUCUGUUUAGAUGUUUCUGGGCUCCAUAUAGGUCUAAAUCUUUUUUCCUUCUUUAUUGCCUCCCAAGGAACGUUUUUAGACAUUUUCCCCACUAAUUGCCAAACUCUUCCCCAUCAUAAAAUUUGAUUUCCCACCCGGGUGAGUGGUGCACACACUGUAGUCCUGAUUACUCUGAAGGCUGCGGCAGAAGGAUCACUUGAGCCCAGGACUUCUAGACUAGCCUGGACAACAUAGUGAGACCCUGUCUCAAAAAACAAAAAAAAAGGGUCAGGGAUUUAGCUCAGUGGUUUCACCGCCUGCUGUGCAAGUGCAAGGACCUGAGUUCAAUCCUCGGUACCAGAAAAAAAAGAAAAGAAAAAAAAUAGCACAAAUGUGUUUAUGAACCAUGACCCUAUGAGAAGCCAAACCAUUAUGGUAUUUAAGACGUUUUUCUCCUUAGCCCUUUAUCAUCCCUCUGAGACUUGAUUUGUGGCCCUGGGCAGCAGUCAUCCUUUUGAGAGUGCACGGUGCUCAGCACCUUCACCUUUACUCUCCUCCCGCUCAGAUCUUCCCGCUUAGGGGGUUCUGGGCUUCUUCUCAGUGGAGCCGACCUACAUGGUGGGGUGGGGAGCAUGAAAAAUAAGCUGGGUAUGGUGGUGCACAGCUGUAAUCCCAGCUCUCUGGAAGGUGGAGGCAGGAGGAUUUCAAGUUCAAGCCCAGCCCGUAUAAUUUAGUAAGUCCCUGUCUCAAAAUUUAAAAAUAAAAAAUUAAAAAAGGACUAUGGAUGUAGUUCAGUGUGAAGGCCCUGGCCUUAGUCUUCAGUAUUGGAACAAGAAAAAAAAAAAGCAGAAGAAAAGGAAAGAAAGAAAAACAGUAAAAUCUUUAUUGUGUUGAGCAAAUGCUUGAUGGUCCAUUCUUUCUAAUCUUCAAAGCAACCCUGCAAGAAAAGUUUUCAUUUGAGAAAGCUUAGGCUCGGAGAGGAUAAGUCAUCAUGAGCAUGCCAUGUUGUAGACAUGAAGACCACCUCUGAUUUGAAGGUUAGAGCCUCAGGGGUAAAGGGCUUCUUCCUCAUGAGGGCGAGGGAGAGGCCGUGGUGGGAGGAGCCGAGUGUCCACCAGCCUCUUCUUGUGUGCUUGUUGCUCUCGAGGUGGUUAAUCUACUUAGGUCAUUUAAUUCGUGCCCCUGCUCUGUGACAUGGAGGAGAUGUCCCUACUUUCAGAGACCAAAGGUGGAUUUGCAGCGAUUCUUUUGUCCAUGUUCACAAGGUCAGCAAUUCAUAAAGUCUAGGCUAUAAUCCCCGUCUGCCCUUCUUAAAACACUUCUGUCUCUUUUUAGGCUCCUGGCUUCCCCUUGAGGAGAGUGAGAAGCACCACAAUUGUAGCUUUCCCACACCACCAGUUUCUUAUGUGCGAACACCCCUUCCUCUUUUGAGUAAUAUUUAUUUAUUGUACAUAUUAAUGGCAUUUACUGUGACAUUUUGAUACAUGCAUGCAGCAUGCCCUGAUCAAAUCUACCCUCUAUGUUCCUGUUGGUUUUGCACAGUUAGAUAUGGUGAUAAAUAUAAACCACAAUGGUUUAAAAACUUUGUAUAGGUUACUGUCUUCACCCAUUACUAUCUUCACAAACACUUAGGCAUCUGGAAAUCCCAAGUUGGAUGCCACUGGUUUCUGAAAUGCCAAGGAGUGCAUUCCCUGGCGAUGACACAGCAGGAUGCCUUUCAGGCAGUCACAUUGGGCACAGUGUGGCUUAGGCUCAAGCCUUGGAGGAGUAGGGAGAGACAGAGCAGGCAGCAGGCUGCUGGGAGGAUCGGUGCUGGGUGACUGCAUCUGAUAGCUGAGCACAGGAGUCAGGUUGUGGGCCUCCUCGUUCCCCAGGGGCCUUGCUAUGCUCCUGGGGAGAGAACCUUUGUGUUUGUCUACCUGUGCAGAUCCCAGCCAGCAGAGCACAGUGGGAGGGCCCAGCCGCCAGGAGGUUUUGUCUGGGCUCAGAAUGGUGCAGUGGAGCUAAGACCUUAGGAGCAGUUGUCAGGGGUCCCCUUACAUCUUCUAUGAGGCCUGACCUGACAGCUGGGCGGGGCCGAUCCUUCCUUCCUUUCUCUGGAGAAAGGAUGCUUUGGGCUCCGGCAGGUGAAUUGCAAAUGCCUGAUUCAGUUGUCAGCAUGUCUGUCUCUCAGGAGCAGGAACGGCUGCGUCCUAUCAGGAAGAGGUGGAGGUGGUGACAGUCAGGGUUGGCUGGCUCUCCUGCCCUGCUGAAGAGAUCUAGAGGUUGGCGCGUGGGAUCCAGAGAGGCCGUGAUAGAACGGAGGGCAGUGGCUCUGGCUGAAGAAGCACCAGGGCUCUGAGGGCCUGCUUGUUCCUGCUCCCCUGCUCCCAGGCACCUCACUCUGCCUGGGGUUUGGCAGAUGAAGGGGAAAUUGGAGAAGACAAAGGCAAAGCAGAAGUGCCUGGGAAGCGCAUGUGUGACGCAGCUAGAAACCAGGCUGGCAGUCACUGAGCCUCAGUUUCCUCAGCUGGGAGAUGAGCGGAUUGGGACUGAUAACCUCUCAAUCCUGUUGAAGUUUUCUCCCUGGAUCUAUUAAUUCUUUCAGAUGGUUUUUAUCAAAAACUUGAAUAUGUCCAUGGGACCCCCUCCAGAUUCCAGCUACCAAACACUUCACUAAUAAGUGUUUAAGCCACACUCAUAACAGAAUCCAGCUGGCUCGGUCUUCUGAAAAUUGUGUGAUUCUGUAUAUGAGAUUGGAAUGCCACACGAAGGUGGCAAAGCAGCAUUGGAAACUAUUAUUUACUCUAACUUAGAACUAGAUUUACAAUGGAUAAAGCAGCCAGCAAAUAACCAAUACAACUGUGUGUCACGAAUUAGAUGGUGGAAAAAUUACGUAUGCACUUAUGUUUAGACUCAGAAAUCUAACUUCUAAGAUUUUAUUUCCCAAAUUAUAGUGAUAAACAAUGUGAAUACACACACAUUCACACAAAGUUAUUAAUUGUUGCUAAUUUCUUCAUUGGAACACAUCAACUAUGUUUAAGUGCAUAGUGGUAUUCAGGAUAAAACACGUCACUGGUCACAUUUAGAAGAUUUAUUACUUUUAAAACUGGUAAAUAAGGAGAAAGGAUCAGGUGUUUACUCUGCCUUUCUUAUACAGAUUGUAUCUCAGGACACUCAGUAGAGGAGGGGAAGUUUCUCUUUAUACAGAUAUUCCAGCUGAUACAUGAAGGAGUGAUAGAAUGUUUAAAUCUAAAUUGCAGAGUCUAGAAAAUGUUCACAAUAACAGUUAACAUCACUAGAAGAAAGAUAAUAAGAGUUUAUGUGUCUUUUGAUAGAAGUAUCAUAAUAUUACCUAUUAAGUAGCGAUGAACAACAGCAGAAACAAUAACAAAAACCUAGCCUGAAUCUAAAGAACAGCACAUCCAGGAGAACUUUCUGUAAUGAGAUAGUGCUCUGUAUAUGCGCAGAACAUACAUGCAGUCCAAUAGAGUAGCCACUAGCUAUGUGUAUAUGUCAAGCAGUUGAAAUAAAGACUCGAGUACCUGAGGAACUGAGUUUUACAUUUUAUUAAAUUUUAAUUAAUUUAAAUUUAAAUAGCCAUAAGUGGCUGUGGCCUUCUGCAUUGGACAGCACAGGUCUAGAGCUGCCUGGAAGACAGGAGACAAAAGAACAUGUUAAAGGACACCAUAGGAAUGCAAACAAAAUGUAGUUUAUGGAAAUUAGGUGGCAAACCAUCUGGCUCAUCAAUAAAUAAGACACAACAAUAAAAGAGAGUUGGAGAACAUAAGAGUCAUUGAUGAUUAGUGACACCCACCAGUUACAAGCUCCAGAAGUCAUUUGGGUGCUGAUUUCAAUAAAUAAACUAAAAACUAUGAUGCAACUGGAAAAUGUAAACCUUGAUUAUAUAUUUAAAGGUGCUAAAAAUGAUUGCUUUUAGGUGUAAUAAUGGUACAGUUAUUUUAAAAGAAUCCUAUUCUUUUAGACAUACUACUGAUGUGUAUAUAGGUAAAACCACAUGAUGUUGGGAUUUGCUUCAAAAUCAGUCCAGUGGCUGAGUUAGGGGGCAGAAAGUUGGAGAAUUGAGAGAGAGAACAGAUGAUGUAAGAAUGGAAUAAUUGUUUUUUUUUACAUUGGUACAUUUUUAGGUAUACAAUACAUUUACAUUUCUCACUGGGAAUUGUACCUUUACAUGAUGCAUCUUUUUAUUUUUCCCCAUUCCUAGCCCUCCCUUCACCUCCUCCACCCUUCCCUAUUUACAAAGACUUUGUUUCCAUUUUUUCCAUUUCUCAUAAUUUUUCCUUUCCCCUGCCCCUCCCACUUCCCUGACCCCUUUGGACCUUUUCUUCCUAUUUUGCAUUAUCGAUUAUUCAUUCUAAUCAUUGGUACAUUUUAGGUAUACAAUAGAAUGACAUUCAUCAUUGGAAAUUUGCACCUUCGCAUAGUCUCUCUUGGUUCUUACUUCCCCCCCUUCCCCUGCCCUCCCUUCAACCCCUCCAUUCCUCCCUAUUUACAAAGACUUUGUUUCCAUUUUUCCAUUUUCCCAUAUUAAUACCAUUCCCUUCUUUCCUUUCCCCUACCCCUCCCACUUCCCCUUCCCCUUUGCCCCUUUUCUUCCUAUUUCACAUUAUCUAUUAUACCUUUUAGUCCUUAUUUACACUUUCAGUUUCUCACACUAGAGAAACUAUUCGGUAUUUAUACAUGUGAGUCCUAUUUAUUUCACUUAAGAGUAUCGCCUCAGUGUGCAUCCAUUUAACUAUAAAUGUCUCUAUUUUCUAAUUUUUUAUGGCUGAGUAGUACUCCAUUUUUAUAAAAAACCCCACAUUUUCUUUAUCCAGUCUUCAGUUGAUGGGCAUUUGGGCUGUUUCCAAGUUUUAGCUAUUACAAACUGUGCUGCUAUGAACAUGGGCGCACAUAUAUCCCUGUGGUAUGAUUCUUUUAAUUCUUUGGGGAAGAUCCCCAGCAGGGGAAUAGCAGGGUCAAAUGGGACUUCCAGUCCUAGUUCUUUGAGGUAUCUCCAUACUGAUUUCCACAGUGGUUGCACCAGUCUACACUCCCACCAGCAGUGGAGCAGGGUUCCUCUUUCCUCACAUCCCCGCCAGCAUUUGUUAUUGGUUGAUUUCAUGAUAGCAGCCAUUCUUUCUGGGGUGAGGUGGAAUCUCAGCAUUGUUUUCAUUUGCAUCUCUCGAAUGACCAGUGAUGUUGAACAUUUUUUCAUGUAUUUAUUUGGUAUUUCUGCGUCUGUCUGAGAAAUGUCUGUUCAUUUCAGCUGCCCAUUUUUGGAUUGGGUCUUUAAAUUUGGGAGGUCUGAUCUUUUAAGUUCUUUAUAGAUUCGAGAUAGUAGACCUUUGUCUGAGGAAGAGCAGGUGAAGAUUUUUUCCGAGAUUGUGGGUUGUCUCUUCACACUGCUGGUUUCUCUUGCUGUGCAGAAGCCUUUUAAUAAGAAGAGAUCCCAUUUGUUGAUUGUUUGUGCUAGUUUACAGGCAACUGAGGUUUUGUUCAUAAAAUCUUUUCCUACACCAAUGUCUUCAAGGGUUCUACCUAACCUUUCUUUCAGCCGGUUCCGCGUUUCUAUUUUAAUAUUUAGAUCUUUAAUCCAUUUUGAUUUUAAUUUAGUGCAUGGUGAGAGAUAUAGGUCUAGUUUUAAUCUUUGUUAAGUUGAAACCCAAUUUUUCCAGUACCAUCUAUUAAACAGGCUAUCUUUCUUCCAGUGAGGGUGUUUGGCUCCUUUGACGAAGAUGAGGUGGCUGAGUGUGUCUGGAGUUGUUUCUGCAUCUUCUAAUCUGUUCCACUGGUCCUCAGGUCUGUUUCUUUGCCAGUACCAUGCUGUUUUUAUCACAGUGAGUGACUGUUCUCUUUGGUCUCCACCAACAGCACAGAGAACAGGCUGAGAAGCAGCUUCUUUUGUACAGUGAGCUCCCUGGACCAUCCAGGACUGGGUUUGGGGCAUGCGCCAGAUAUUUUUGUGUUCACAACACUAUUUUCUGCCAAAGGCAGUCCUGUGUUCAUUCUGAGCAAGCUUCUGGAAGGCCUCAGUGGCUGUUUAUUUCUUCUGUAUUAAGUGUAAUAGGAUGGGCCCUUCAUUAAUUAUAGGCUUUCAGGGAGUUGAUAAACAUACGGAGAGAUAGAAGUUUCUCUGCCUUCUGAUGGCUUCAGGCACUAAGCAAAAACCUGUAUUGCUCAAAUGAACAUAUGUUAACACCAAGUUUCUCCACACUUUCCCCAGCUUCUUUUAAAAUAGAACUAUUACUGUGAUGGAAGCUAGAAGGGCUAAGCACUAAGGUGGUAGAAUUUGUAGCUAGGAGUGGCUUAUAAUCACUCCUUUUUCUAAGCCCUACAUCUGGGACUGGCUACAUUAUUUGGGGACCUUUUAAAAAGAAUUGUAGAUAUUUUUUGCAUCCCACUCUCAAGGAAUUUGCUUUCUUAGAUCUGCACUGAGGUCUGAAAAACUCUAAUUUUGAAAGGGGUCUUAGGGGAUUCUGAUGCCUGAGUUUGGGACUGCUAAUGAUGGCAAGUUUGUUCUAGACAGGGAUUGAAGUUUUUCUAUUCUUUUGCUGGCAUCAGUCAAGGUCUUUUGUGUGUAAGGGCAUGCUUUUCUUCUGGAAGUCUUGGAGUUUUCAGGAGCAUCUUUGCAGUUUGCUGUUCCAGCCUACUCCCACUCCAUGUAACAGGCCAGUCGGUCAAAGUGUCCUGGUUGAGUACAGACAGGUCCUGCUAAGGGCUGGCUCUGCCACUUACCAUCUUGGAGACUUAGAGCACAUUGCCAAAUUCCUGUCAUUCUCACUUUGCUUAUCUCAACAGCGGUAAGAAUAGUAACCGCCCAAGGAGCUGCUCCAGUGAAGAUUAAAUGAAAGCUUAUUGCCUGGCACACUGUGAGUGCUCAACAUGUAGAUGAUGUUACAAUAUUAUUAUUAUUUUCCUGAAGGUUCAAGUUGUCAAAUAGGUUUUUUUUAUGGUCAAAGGCCACAUUUGCUAAUGUUUUUCUGCCAAGGGAGAUUAUAGAAAAUUACGUUCAAUGAGAUGAAUACUUUACAUGCAAGCAUAAGCCUGACACUUUCUUGCAGAAAUUUGCAGUAAAGAACAAAGGGGCUCACAGUGUCAGGGUAAGGGUUCCUCAGAUCUCCUGGGCUGAGGAACAGCAGAGAGAUGAAAUGUCAUGUGGCUUUUGCAGGAAUCCCAGUGCAGGCUGGAUGGUGGCAGGAUGGUGGCUGGACCCUCUACGGAGCUCGAUGUGACUGAAUCCCACACUGCAUGUAGACAGUGAAAGAGUCUGAGAUUUCUAGCAGACGCUUUCAAAGGUCCUCCCAACUUCCUGUUUCUGCUGAUUCUCCACCGCUACCUGUUGUAACACCCUUCUUCCUGCUGCUUGCCCUGAGCCUUGCUGUUCUGUCUUUUCUCUCCCUGCUUUCUUCUUUUUUAUGUUUGGUACAUCCAGUUUAUUUCAAGUGAAGAAGUUUACCUACCUUGUUUGCUACUUUUUCUCUUGCAGACUCAUGUUCUUGGGGUAUCUGUUACCCCAAGUGGCAUUUCAAGGGAUUUUCUAAAGCAAAGACAGUAACUUUCUGAAAGGAAUUAUGCUGCUUGAUCUUAAAGUGAUACUUAUUUGCUAUGUCUUUCCAAGCUUAAUAUUCAAGUAAUGAGAUGCUGAACAAAUAUGGGCAUGAUAACAUGGGUGUUGAUGGUGAUGUUAGUAAUAAGAGACUAAGUGGAUCCAAGAGACAUUUAGGAAUGAUGAGAGGUCAUGGCAAAUUGAUCAUAGAAGAAAAACAAAAGGAAGGAGAUGGAGAAAACAUUUAUUGAAUGCCAGUAUCUCAUAUAUUCCCAAUAACAAUCCUAUUCAAAUUGGUUUUAUCUCAAUUUUCCAAGAAACUGAAGUUCAGAGGGAAUAAACAUGCCCAAGAUGACUCAGGCAGUAAAUAUGAAUGACCCAAGAUCCAAGCCUGUUGCGUUUUAAAAACUCAUGUCUUUGCAUUAUAUGCUUAAUCACUUAAUGCUAUUACCAUAGGGGACAGUAACAUCCAUUGGAAAACUCUUUAGUCCAACUCUUACUUGAAUCUAACUGUGGACAAGAUAAUUUUUGAUGAAAGUAAAACUUAGGAUAUAAUUUUAUUUUCUUACAAGCUACAGUUUAGAUCUUGAUGUAAAUUCUUUGUUAUACGGUUUCUUCAAAACCUGCUGCCCCUACUGCAAACGAGGCUCCUCUUACGUGUAAGGCCAGGUCUGGUGGCUGGGAAGUCCAGGGGGACUGAUGUCCUCAGUGUAGUUGCUGUCCAGGGGCACACUGGGCUGCCUUACUCUUAAGGGAGGCAUUUAAACAAAGACUAUGGGACUUGUUUAGUUGAGAUAUUGUUGUAUUCCAAGAAGAGUCUUGUACCCUUUAUAGCAUAGUAUAUUCCAUUCAUGUGGCCAAGGAUAACUGGUCAAGCAUCAUUUUCUGUUUCUUCUUCCAUUCUUUCUUUUUUCUUCCUUUCUUUUCUCUUUCUUUCUUUGUCUUUCUCUCUCUCUCUCUCUCUCUCUCUCUCUCUCUCUCUCUCUCUCUCUCUCUCUCCCUCUCUCCCUCUCUCUCUCUUUCUUUCUUUCUUACUUUUGGGACAGGGUCUCCCUUAUAUAGGUCAGCUAGCCUUGAACUCACUAUGUGGCCCAGCCUGGCCUCAAACUCACAGUGAUCCUCCUGCCUCAGCCUCCCUAGUGCUGGGAUUACAGAAGUGCACCACUAUGCCUGGCUCAAACAUUAUUUCUACUUCAUUUUUGGGGAAGACAGAAUACUGAGCUUUCUUAAUAUGUUUUUAUACAUUCUCUUUGUAAUGGAAAUUUUUAUUUACUCUAGCAAUGUUUGUUGGUCCCUCCAGCAGACCAUAUAUAUUUUACUUUGAAGAAGCUGGAUAAUGUUUAUACAUCUGCAGAAACUAGCUGGAGGAAUUGAGAUUCUUAGCUGAUAUAUUUCUUUAAGAAAAACAUGAAAGGGUAAACACAACACUGCUGAGGUAUGGAGACUGCAACGUGCUCAAAUGUACUUUUCCUUGGUGUUCUUGGAGCAGAAUUUAAUAGUAAAUGUGUAUUUCCUGACAUUAGUGAAUAUACUGCUCCAUAUCUCUCUGGCUCUUGAGUUGAUGUGUUCACAGAUUUUUAAGCAUUGGCUCAUUCUUCCUCAAAUAGAUGGAGGCUGGUAACAAGUAAUGAAAAAAAUUGAAAACUAGGGAAAUGACAUGAAAUUUUUCCUUCCUCCUUGGUAUAAACCUUCUUAAUAAUUGAUGUGCACAUCUUUUCUAGUGGCCAAUGGCCUUUCUUUAAAAGGAGAUAGAACAUGCAUGAAGCUGAGAGAGACUUUCUGAGACUUUCUGUGGUCAGCUCUGCAGCCUUGAUCUCCAACUCGCUUUCCAACACAGGGGCAGCACUCACACAAGGACACACUUCUCCCACUCUAGUUUGUGUAGCUGAGCCUUCUUUGGCUGCUGGUCUGUCUGUCUCUCCCACCUAGGAAGGCUCUAUGAUUAACUCUGGUUUAUUUCUGCUGGGUUAAUUAAUAUAUACAUAUAAGUGGUUGCUGCUUCUUUUUAAGGUGUGACUAGAACUGGUUUUCAUGGAACACACUUGGAGCUUAAAGCAAAUGUUGCGUCUGGCUUUGGGAAACAUCCACAGUGAAUAACAAGUCAAAGCUACUUCUACCGGUGGAGUCCACCAGGGACGAGUUUAUGAUGAGUCAACCCAAGACCCCAUCUGGGCUCACUGUGGGCAUUGGAGGAUGACAAGGUCUCCCUAUGUUAUCCAGACUGGCCUCAAACUCCUAGGCUCAAGUGACUCUCCUGCCUCAGCUUCCUGAGUAGCUGGGACCACAGGUAUGUACCACUGCAUCUAGGUAGAGAGAAUUCUUUCUUUCAGCCUUUUGUUCUAUUCAAGGCUUCAACGGAUUGGAUGAGGCCCACCACAUGGGCACUCAGCUGUACUCCAUCUACUUAUCAGAAUGUUAAUCUCAUUCAGAGACACCCUCAUAGAUAUGUCCAGAAUGUUUGACCAAAUAUCUGGGCACCCUGUGGCCUGAUCCCACUACCAUGGAAAAAGGCAUGGUCACUUGGUUAUCACUAUGGGCAGCUGGAGCUGAGUCCUGUCGGAUGCUGGGAGCCAGUGUGAAGCAGCUUAGUUGGUCCCACUUCCACUGUCACUGAUUGUGGGCUGCUGUGGAGUUCAGGUCCCUUACAUUUCUGUCUCGCUCAGGCUGGCAGAGGGGCUUUGAGCAAAGGAAACCUGCAGGCAAAGCAAUGUAAGUGGUGGCAGUGAGGAGCCCAGCUCUCGCAGUAGGAAGAUCAUCUGCACCAAGCUAAAAAGGUCUGCCGUCCAGUUCAGUAUAUGCUUUUGUAUCCUCAACAAUUUUAAAGCUGGAGAUUGAUCUUAAGUCUGAGACACUGACACUGAGAAACUGACAUUGAGGACUUGUUCUCAGAAAAGAACUUGUGCUCUUAUGACAUUUUCUGUGGGGACAACCUACAAGAAAGGAAUGGGGACCCUGUGAGGAGAAUCUCAAGUGACUGAGUUGUUGACUUGACAGCUGGAAUCUCUGGGAGCUGAGGCUCUAGGUCUCUGUCAUGUUCAAGUUCAACCUUGGGCAGUGUGGUGUGAUCCAGUGUCUUCAAAUUAGGUGUCUAAGUUUUCUUCGUUGCUGAGACAAAAUACCCGACAUCUAAAGUCAAAGGGGAAAGGUUUAUUUAGCUCACAGUUUAUAGAUGUUUCAGUCCAUAAUUAGCUGGCUCCAAGGCAGGGUGGCACAUGGCAGAGGGGGGUCAUAGAGGAGAAACAGCUCAUGGCACUGACAUGGUAGCAAAUGCAACAAGGGAACCUUAGCAUCAUCUUUCUGCCCUUUUUAUCUUAUCCAGACUGGAGGUAUUAGGGCAGUGCCAAACCAGUCUGUGUACUGAUUUAGUAAUCUCAUGGGCUUAAUCUCAGUAUCACACACUGUAGAUCCAGCCACCUCUGAAAAAGCCACCUGUGACCACAUGAGGCUUUGGGGGGACGUCUAGACACAAGCCAUAACAUGAGGAAACCAAGGCUCAGGCAGGAAUUAGGUCCAAGUUACAGAGCUGGAAAAUCACAUAGAGUUGGACCCAGGGCCAUGUGGCCAUAAAACCAGCACCCUUUCCUUAAUACCUGGGGCCCUUCCCAGGGAGGUGCACAUGAACUAAUAGUGGCAUAAUUAUGUACUUGAACUAACUCACCCAGGCCGUGGCAGCAAGUUGUUCUUCUGAUGGGGGAAUGUGUCACACUGACACUCUGCCUCCCUGGCCCCCCAUCCCAGGCAGUAUUGGUAUGGUCUUGUGUUUGAUGCUAUCCAGCCAGCUCCUGCUGGGUUGACCCAUACUCUUGAUCAAUUGAUGAUUCUCCUUGAAGCACAGGAAGUCAGCUGGUAAUAUUUCACUUAGAAUAACAAACUGUGAACAAAACUUGGCUCUCUUUUAUCCUUCUGUUGUUAAAGUUAAUACACAAAGGGAAGCACAGUGCUUCUCCUUGUUUAUCAUCACAUCUGAUCCACAGUCCUACUGAAGGGAGGAACACCUCUCUGUAUUUGCACAGGAAUGGGCAUUUGACCAAAAGGGGACAAAUCUGAUUAUACUUUCUGUACUGAGCUUUUAGUUCUGAUGCUCUGAGAGGCUGAAAUAGUCACACUGGCCAAACAUUCUGCAGAAUUAGGUUUGAGCCUGAGAUACGGGGGCACAGGGGAGCCUGGUGGAUGCAGAGAACAGACAGAUGCUUGUAGGGAAGCAGAGAUGAGAGUCCAGAUGGCUCAUGGGAAGGGAUUUGGAAUCCUGCAUCCCCAUGUCUCCACUCCGUGGCUAGACUUUCCUCCCCUCGGGUAGUGGAGUCACCCGGUCAUGCUGAAAGACCCCUGCCCUCACAUGGCUUGGAAGGGGAUGUGGGUUCCUCUUCACACACCCGAUCCUCAUCAAGAUGACUUGGGAGGAGCCCGUGGCUUUGACCACAGAUGCCGCCUCACCACAUGCAGGAAACUUUGCCCAGAAUGGACAUGGAGCACUAGCAAUUAAGCCUGCCUGGGGAAAUCCAAGCUCAGCAUAGAUCUGGCCCAAACCCUCAACCGAGACAAAGCCACAACCAUCAAAAGGGAGGAACAUUAAUGGUGACACAGAAGAGUGGAUUCCAAUUACCAGGUGGUUUCUGUAGAAGAGGCAAAGUGCAACUUGAUCAUUUGGCUCUCAUAUCCUUAGGGAAUUGUGAUUUAUUUGUUAAUUUAAAAAGAUAGACAACAGGGCCGGGGAUUUAGCUCAGUGCUUGCUGCACAAGCACAAGGACCUGAGUUUGAUCCCUGGUACCAGAAAAACAAAACAAAAAAACGAAGCAAAACAAAAAAGAUAGACAGCACCCCAAAGCCCUAGCACAAUCAGCCUGAGACUACCAAGGGCAAAUCUGUGGCCCAGUCAGCUCAGAUUUAUUGGUCUAUUUCCACGAUGGAAACAUGACCAGAAGAAUUGUGGGGCAUCUCACCAAACCCAGGAAAACACAGAAUUAAUCUGGAAAUCUUGGGACAGAUAAAAUCUAGGUGAAAUGAAAAUAAAGCUACAAAGCAAAGCACUGUUGUGCGUAGGGGGGUCCGAUGUCGGGUCCAGAUGGUGAAUUGAACCCCGUUUGUUGUUUCCUUGAAACGACCAAGUUAAGAUCCAUGUGAAUGUUGUCUUCAGAUUCAGAAGCCCUGUGGGAGCUGGACUCCAGGGCUGGAAACUGAGGCUGCUGCUCUGUGGCAAAGUGACUUGGAUCCUCCAGGGAGGGUGAGAUGUUUCACUCUUACUGAUAAAAUUUCCAACAGUGGCAUUUCUAACAGUCUCUGGUUUCAGAGAUCAAGGCUUUUCAGGAUGCAGGAAAACAGUAGUUACUCAAAAUAGGCAAUAAUGUGCAGUGUGUUCUUGGGAGAAAUAUUGUUUCCUUUUGCUUUGCUUUUUUUUUUUUUUUCUAUGCCUGUUAUCCCAUCCUGAAGAAUGGCUGGGUGACCUUUGUCUUUCUCAGUCUGAACUAAUACUUGCUUUCUCUACAUUUUGGGGGACUCUUUGGAGGAGAAUAUGGAGUUAAUGCUCUUCAAUUUUCCAAAACUUGUGAAAAUUUGUAACUAUCCUAAAUGAGCUCAGGCCAUUACCAGUGUUUGGAGGGGAGCUGGGUAGGGCCUGGCAACCUUGUUGGCAUUGUGGCUAGGAUUUCCCAGUCCUGAGAGGUGACAUUUCACAGGGCAUUGUCCCUGCCUUUGAGUCUCUUGGGUUCCACUUUCCUGUUUUUAUUCUAUUAUUUACUUAAAUUUUAAGAAGCAAAUUCACAUCUUGUACUGAAAUAAACGCAUUAUAAAAUGAAACCUGUAGUCACUAUCAUAAAAGGGAAAAUAGUAUGCCUUGCAUAAUUUCACAGUAACCAUGGAAAGGACAUAAACCCCACCAGGAUUGGUUUUCUUUCUAGAUUAUUGCCUGUCAAAAUGCACAAGCUUGAAGCUCUCUUUGCCUUAGAAAAAGUGGGCAGGGUAUGGAGAUUAUUAGCCAAUGUCAGGGCAGUGUUAAACCACAUAACAACAGCAUCAGACCCAGACAUUCUCCAUCAUAUAAUCAGAAAGAUGAAAGAGAGUUAAAAGAAGAGUCUCACACCAGGCACCUUGGUCCAUUAGUGGGGCUGUAAUAACAUGCCCGUGGCUGGGCAACUUAAAAGAAAUUGAAAUUUGUUUCUCCUAGUUCUGGAGGCUGGGAAGUCCAAGAUCACAGAGCUGGCAGGUUUGGUGUCUGGUGAGGGAUCUCUGCCUCCCAGUUGGUGUCUUGUUUCUAAGUCUUCAUGUGGCAGAAAUAGCAAACUCUGGGUCCUCAUGUGGUGGAACAGACGGAAGGAGCAGGCAGCUCUUCUAAGCCUCAUUUGUAAGGAUAUCAGUCCACUUCCUGAGGAUGACUUAAUCAUUUUCUCAGAGGUCCCACCUCAAUACAUCAUCGUAGGGGUUAAUACAUGGAUUUUGGAGGAGCACCUAUGUUCAAUCCUGGGCACCAGGAUUUGGUAUUAAGGCUGUUUGGUUAUCUCCAAAUCAUCCAAGUGCUCACACAACUGUGUAUUCCACUCUCUUAAAAACUGGCAUUGUGCUUCAAGGGCACUGGCUGCACAGUGAGAACGCCCAGAGUGGAAUUAAAUGCCACCACUUUAGAGGUGUGUGGUCCUGGGGCAGGUAUAUAGGUAUUUAAGGCUCACUUUUCUCAGCUGUACAAUAGGCAUAGUAAUUGUUGCUAUCUCUCAUGGUUGCUCUGAGGAUUUAAUGAGCUGAUCCAUGGAAAGCCAUUAGCCUGGUGUCUGUCAGACAGUUUCCACAGAUGUGAGCUAGGCUUCUGAGACAAGCUCGAGUCCUGUCUGUCCCCUUGUAAAGAAAGGGUAUUACUAGCCUUGCUUCCUUCCCUAGAGUGGCAGGAGAGGCCUGGGAUGAGCACUGCUGACUUCUUGGAGAGAAGUUUUCUUGGACGAGGUCAAAUGGUGAGUGUGCACCACCGGGAAAGGCUGGAGAGACCUGGGACUUCCAGUGUCAGAGGAAUGUGACUCUGUUGGUAAUAAAGGCCACAGACCCAGAGCCUUGUUCUGUGCUUUCCCCAGUGACCUUUCUUAGGGGCUGAGGAUGAGUCUGUGGGGAUUUUAGUCCUCACAAGUUGUGGGGGUUGCACCCAAGAUCCCCAAAGCUAAAUGAGCUCUGGAGUUGAAAGUGGGCAAAACAUUUUCAACACAAGAUGAGUUCAAGCUCAGAGAAAUCAAGCCAGAACCUUAAAAAAUGGCAAGCAGGGACUCAGGAGCCAAAGCCAAGUCUGUGGGAGAAACAGUGGCAGAAUGGGGGCAGGCUAGUGACGGGAGGAGGUACCACAGGUGGCUGCUCACAGCCACGGGCCGUCCAUCACUCAUGGCUGCUGGCCUGGCUCAGACAUGCAAGGUCAGCUUUCAUCCCUUCCCGGAAAUCUCAGGUUGAGUCAGGGUCAGGCAGGUGUAGACCCAUGAUCAAUUCAGAGUGAAACCCAAAACCCCCAGAGCAUCUCGGUCUCACCUGAAUCAAACCCUGCCUGGCAAACCUCCAGGGUAUAACAUCUGUCAGCCCUUUGUUCUCAGGCAUCAACUGCCCUGGGGUGUGAGCCACAUGGAGAACCCCCUACCUCCUUUAUGUGGGCUGCGAAUGGAAAUUUUUAUGUUUACAUAAAGCAUGGGGAUGCUGUAUUUGGAAACGAAAGGCUCAGAUAAACAGGCAUAGACAGAGCUUACUGCCAGGGCUCUCUGUGGCUGUACUUGACCCCAGCUGUAGGCUCAGCAGGUGAAAGAUAAGGUUAAGGCCCUGUGCUUGUCAAACACUGAACUCAUAGAGAAGGCUGGAGAGGGAGAAGCAGAGCAGGAUUCAGAGAGGAUUUUCUUUUUUUCUCAUGUCUAUCUCCAUCAAAGUCUGAAAGCAUGUCCUAGGGGAGCUGGGUGAAAAUCACUCAGGGUGCAAGGAGAUGGGUGGUUUGUGAGUUUGCUCAUCUCUUGAGCAUCCAGGAAAAAGGCAAGAAAUCUGGAGAGGUGUGCUGGAUCAUGGAGGGUUGGCUUUGGAACCAUCAUUUUGUUCCUCAUUUUCCUUUUCUUCUCUUCCUUCCGGUCCCACUUGAGGGGAAAUGUUAACAUCUCCUUCAUUUCUCCCUGGCUACAGCAUGAUUUUUGCCAGAAUACUAACUUUAAAAGUUUUCUUUGUGACUCUGUCUUGAUAAAAAAUAAUAGAAACAGACAUUUUGAUGCUUACAAUGUGCUAGACACUGUUCUAAGUGCUUGGCAUGUUCUAGCUCACUUAUUCCCGAGACAGCACUGUGAUGUAGGCGCUGUUGUCUUUCGCGUCUUAGAGGGCAGGAGUUGAGAUGUGGAAGUUACUGCACCUGUACCAAGCCAUGGAGCUGAGUGGCAGAGGCACGAUUUGAACCUAGAAUCUAGAUGAGGACUCUCAGCUCUCCUCCACGCUGUCUGUGGGAUGAAAGCCAAGUUCAUCAAUCUGUGUGCUCAGGGGUGAGUCAACUUACUUCUCUACCCCAUGCUUUAAAAAAUUUUUCCACUCAUGAAAGAUGAAGCUUGGACUCUGGUCCUUCUGCUCCUAUCCAGCUCAGACUCUGGGAUUCUGUGGUGCCCGCACAGCACAGUGUGGUCUAGGUGAACACAGAAGUGAUUCUCCUCUGCCUUACAUCUGAUGAGAUGUGAUUGCCUGUGGCUAAUGAGCACAGAUUUGGAGUCAGAGACAUGCGUGUGGGCACCUGUCUUAGCUCUCUUAAUCCAAAUUUCACACUUGAGUCUGGGUGGGAGGGGUUCCAAUGAGACUGGGAAACCUUCAGUGAUCCGAAUGGGGCAUGAUGUUGUCAGAUUCAUUGUGCAGAGGGAUCACUUUGGGGUAGAAUAAAGGAAGGAUUGGAAGGAAACAGUGUCGGAGUGGGGUGGGCAGCAGUUAGGAUGCUGUUGUAGACGUGGGGGUUUGUAGUUAGUGCUCUGACAGGGUGCCUGGCUGGGCUGGCAAGUGAGUGUGUGAGUGUGUAUGUGUGUGUGUGCGUGUGAAGUAGGGUAGUGAUUAAGGCCUGGAGAAAGGACAGCCUUUCUUCCUCCUCUUCCUUCUUCCCUUCCCUUCCCUUUCCCUCCUUUCCUUUUUCCUUUCUCCUUCCGCCCUUCCUCACUCCCUCCCUCUUUCCCUUCUAUCCUUUAUCUUCAGGUGACUUAUGAUACCUAAUACAAUGUAAAAGCUAUGUAAAUAGUUGUUAUACUAUAUUCAUGGAAUAAGGACAAGAAAAAAAUCUGUUCAGCACAGAUGUACAGUCCCCUCCCCCCGCCAUGUUUUCAGUCUUUGGUUGGAUGAAGUCGUAUGUGCAGGUUGGAAGGGGGACCGUAUGUCUCAUCAACAAAAAGGACAGGACCGGUGUCACAACAACAUAGAUGAACUCCCAAAACACAUGCUAACCGAAAUGAGCCAAACACAGAAAGCAACAAAGGGUGUCAUUUCAUUUAUAUUAAAUUCCUAGAGAAAGCCAGUCCUCUAGAGAUAAAUGCUUUCUUGGGGGCUGGAAUAUGAGCAGAGAUGAACUGCUGCAGGGAUGGGGGAAAUUUUGGGGAUGGUAGAAAUGCUUUAAAUUUGAGUCAUGGAGGCAGGUGCACAAUGGUGUAAAUUUACUACAACUUAUCAGAUCUAGAAUUGAAAUAGGUGAACUUCUUGAGUCUAAGUUAUACCUCAAUAAAGCUGUUUUCAGUUUAGAGCUUUAUAAAAGGAAAAGUACAAAAAUAUUGGUGUAGCAUAUGUUUCCUUAAGCAAGUCAUGAAAAACAAAUUAAGAAAAACAUAUUUGACAUAAAAUUUUUAAAAAUUCAUAAUUCAAGACAUUUAAAGUGUAAACAACUCAAAUAAUAGAUUUUGAGAAGCAUUUGAAUCAUUUUUGAGCAAUAAAGACAUAAUCUAUUAUGCAAAAACCUCAGGAAAAUUACAGGAGUCAAAAAUCUUAUCUCAAAUCAACCAAGAUAUUCACAGAUAACAAUACAAAUAGACAAUACAAUGAGAAAAUUUCUUAUGUAGCUAUGAAGUGAAAAUUUAAACUGCAAGUUACCUUAUUUUGGAAAAUCUCUAGCAUUUGGUAAUGCACAUUGUGGAGGUGUAAGAAAUGGCCAGUCUGUUUUGGGACUGAAAAUCAACCGUUUUGGAGACUGACUGGAUAAUAGUUAGUAAAAUUAGAAAUGUGUAUGCUGUUAGUGAAACAAUUCUUCUUCUAACAAUCUGUCUUAUGGGGGGAAAUAGGAUAGAUAUAUCAAGGCAAAUGCAUAAAGAUGUUUUCUGGAUUAUUUAAAAAUAACAAGAAAUAAAAGCCAGGUGGAUUUCUAGAAAUAGGAAUAUAUUUGAAUAUAUUUUGAUGCAUUAAAGUAAUGACAAAGUAAUACAUAUGCAGUCUUAAAAAAGAAUUAGAAAUAUUUAUCUGCAUGGAUUUGGAAAGCUAUAUAUGAUUAUGUUAGUUUUCUACUCCUGUGUAACAACGUAUCAUGCAUUUAGGAACUUGAAAUAACACCUGGGAUUAGUUCACAUUUCUGGAGCUCAGAAGUCUGGCAUGGCUUGGUUCUGUUCACAAAGCAAUCAACACUGUAUGGGCUGCACCGAGUUCUCAUCUGGGAGCUGAAUCCACUGAAUCUCCAGAGUACGAGGCCACCAUUUCCUGCGUGGCUGUCAUAGAUGCUUUCUCAGCUCCUAGAGGCCACCUACACUUCUAGCCAUGUGUCUUCCUUUGUCUUUAAGCCAGAAGGGUGUAUCAGAUCCUUCUCAUGUUUUGAAUCUCUGAUAUCCUCUGUCUCUGACCUGUGGACCCAAAUUGAAAAAGUUCAUUUGAUUCUCUUCAUUUUUAGUGGAAUUGAAUAGAGACCUUAAUUACACCUGCAAAAUCCUUUUUCACAGUAACACUUAGAUUUAUUUUUAUAUGAUUGUGUGAAAUUUUAUAUAUAUCUUUGAUUUUUAGCAGUUUGAUCAUAAAGUGUCUGAUCAUAGUUUUAAGUUUAUCUUGUUUGAGGUUCACGGAAUUUCUUUUUUUUUUUGUAUUAAAUUCUUUUAUUGGUACAUUGUAGGUAUGCAACACAAUUACAUUUCUCAUUGGGAAUUGUACCUUUAUAUAAUGCAUCUUGGUUCUUAUUUUUUCCCCAUUCCUAGCCCUCCCUUCACGCCCUCCACCCUUCCCUAUUUACAAAGACUUUAUUUCCAUUUUUUCCAUUUCUCAGCAUUUUUUCCUUUCCCCUGCCCCUCCCACUACCCCUACCCCUUUGGACC